GGGGGAAUAGCGCAGUGGUAGAGUAUGUGCCUAGCAUGCACAAGGUCCUGGAUUCAAUCCCCAGUAGCUCCA
Molecule: transfer RNA, 72 nt
Organism: Camelus ferus (Wild Bactrian camel)
Lineage: Eukaryota; Metazoa; Chordata; Mammalia; Artiodactyla; Camelidae
Rfam family: tRNA
About the family: Transfer RNA (tRNA) molecules are approximately 80 nucleotides in length.
Source: Rfam